RNAcentral lists this ribosomal RNA (254 nucleotides) under uncultured bacterium. Its description in RNAcentral is "partial 16S ribosomal RNA". It matches the Rfam family "Bacterial small subunit ribosomal RNA", at positions 524 to 776 of the family's 1533-position model. The record is from RNAcentral.
UACGUAGGGUGCAAGCGUUGUCCGGAAUUAUUGGGCGUAAAGAGCUCGUAGGCGGUUUGUCGCGUCUGCUGUGAAAAUCCAGGGCUUAACCCUGGACCUGCAGUGGGUACGGGCAGACUGGAGUGCGGGUAGGGGAGAUCGGAAUUCCUGGUGUAGCGGUGAAAUGCGCAGAUAUCAGGAGGAACACCGGUGGCGAAGGCGGAUCUCUGGGCCGUAACUGACGCUGAGGAGCGAAAGCGUGGGGAGCGAACAGG